Molecule: ribosomal RNA, 890 nt
Filed under: uncultured bacterium
Lineage: Bacteria
Description: bacterial SSU rRNA
Rfam family: Bacterial small subunit ribosomal RNA
Source: RNAcentral
AGUCGAACGGUAGAGUAGCAAUACUUGAGAGUGGCGAACGGGUGAGUAAUAUAUCGGAACGUGCCCAGUCGUGGGGGAUAACGUAGAGAAAUUUACGCUAAUACCGCAUACGAUCUAAGGAUGAAAGCGGGGGAUCGCAAGACCUCGCGCGAUUGGAGCGGCUGAUAUCAGAUUAGGUUGUUGGUGAGGUAAAAGCUCACCAAGCCGACGAUCUGUAGCUGGUUUGAGAGAACGACCAGCCACACUGGGACUGAGACACGGCCCAGACUCCUACGGGAGGCAGCAGUGGGGAAUUUUGGACAAUGGGCGAAAGCCUGAUCCAGCAAUGCCGCGUGUGGGAAGAAGGCCUUCGGGUUGUAAACCACUUUUGUACGGAACGAAACGGUUCGCUUUAAUACAGUGGGCUAAUGACGGUACCGUAAGAAUAAGCACCGGCUAACUACGUGCCAGCAGCCGCGGUAAUACGUAAGGUGCGAGCGUUAAUCGGAAUUACUGGGCGUAAAGCGUGCGCAGGCGGUUAUAUAAGACAGUUGUGAAAUCCCCGGGCUCAACCUGGGAAUUGCAUCUGUGACUGUAUAGCUAGAGUACGGUAGAGGGGGAUGGAAUUCCGCGUGUAGCAGUGAAAUGCGUAGAUAUGCGGAGGAACACCGAUGGCGAAAGCAAUCCCCUGGACCUGUACUGACGCUCAUGCACGAAAGCGUGGGGAGCAAACAAGAUUAGAUACCCUGGUACUCCACGCCCUAAACGAUGUCCACUGGUUGUUGGGUGCAUUAGUACUCAGUAACGAAGCUAACGCGUGAAGUUGACCGCCUGGGGAGUACGGCCGCAAGCUGAACUCAUAGGAAUUGACGGGACCCGCACAGCGUGGAUGAUGUGGUUUAUUCGAUGCA